Molecule: ribosomal RNA, 1329 nt
Filed under: uncultured bacterium
Lineage: Bacteria
Description: bacterial SSU rRNA
Rfam family: Bacterial small subunit ribosomal RNA
Source: RNAcentral
GCGGCGCGCCUAACACAUGCAAGUCGAACGGAGUUAUGUUGAAAGCUUGCUGGAUAUAUAGCUUAGUGGCGGACGGGUGAGUAACACGUGAGUAACCUGCCUUUUUGAGUGGAAUAACGUUUGGAAACGAACGCUAAUACCGCAUAACGUCAGAGGACGGCAUCGUUCUUUGACCAAAGAUUUAUCGCUGAAAGAUGGGCUCGCGGCCGAUUAGGUAGUUGGCGAGAUAACAGCCCACCAAGCCGACGAUCGGUAGCCGGACUGAGAGGUUGAUCGGCCACAUUGGGACUGAGACACGGCCCAGACUCCUACGGGAGGCAGCAGUGGGGGAUAUUGCACAAUGGGGGGAACCCUGAUGCAGCGACGCCGCGUGAGGGAAGACGGUUUUCGGAUUGUAAACCUCUGUCUUUAGGGACGAAAAAAAUGACGGUACCUAAAGAGGAAGCCACGGCUAACUACGUGCCAGCAGCCGCGGUAAUACGUAGGUGGCAAGCGUUGUCCGGAAUUACUGGGUGUAAAGGGAGCGUAGGCGGGGAGGCAAGUUGAAUGUUUAAACUAUCGGCUCAACUGAUAGUCGCGUUCAAAACUGCCACUCUUGAGUGCAGUAGAGGUAGGCGGAAUUCCUAGUGUAGCGGUGAAAUGCGUAGAUAUUAGGAGGAACACCAGUGGCGAAGGCGGCCUACUGGGCUGUAACUGACGCUGAGGCUCGAAAGCGUGGGUAGCAAACAGGAUUAGAUACCCUGGUAGUCCACGCCGUAAACGAUGAUUACUAGGUGUGGGGGGACUGACCCCUUCCGUGCCGGAGUUAACACAAUAAGUAAUCCACCUGGGGAGUACGACCGCAAGGUUGAAACUCAAAGGAAUUGACGGGGGCCCGCACAAGCAGUGGAGUAUGUGGUUUAAUUCGAAGCAACGCGAAGAACCUUACCAGGUCUUGACAUCGAGUGACGAACUUAGAGAUAAGUUUUUCCUUCGGGACACGAAGACAGGUGGUGCAUGGUUGUCGUCAGCUCGUGUCGUGAGAUGUUGGGUUAAGUCCCGCAACGAGCGCAACCCUUAUCAUUAGUUGCUACGCAAGAGCACUCUAAUGAGACUGCCGUUGAUAAAACGGAGGAAGGUGGGGAUGACGUCAAAUCAUCAUGCCCCUUAUGACCUGGGCUACACACGUACUACAAUGGUGAUAGAACAGAGGGAAGCAACACAGCGAUGUGAAGCAAAUCCCGAAAAAUCAUCUCAGUUCAGAUUGCAGGCUGCAACUCGCCUGCAUGAAGUCGGAAUUGCUAGUAAUCGCGGAUCAGCAUGCCGCGGUGAAUACGUUCCCGGGCCUUG